Molecule: unclassified non-coding RNA, 189 nt
Filed under: plant metagenome
Description: partial contains small subunit ribosomal RNA and internal transcribed spacer 1
Rfam family: Eukaryotic small subunit ribosomal RNA (bases 1-46)
Source: RNAcentral
AAGUCGUAACAAGGUUUCUGUAGGUAAACCUGUAGAAGGAUCAUUAUUGUAGGGCUUUGGCCCUGUUGAGAUAGAACCUUUGCCUUUAUGAGUACUGUCUGUUUCCUUAGCAGGUCCGCCUGCUGAUAGACCCAAAACCAAAACCCUUUUAUUACCUGUAUCAGUCUGAAAAAUUAAACAAAAUUAAAA